GGGAGUAGGAUGCUGAGGAAGUAAAUAAGGAAAUACUGCGUGUCCCGAGAUACGGAUCUUCGCUGAGGUCUAUUACUGAAGCCCUGCCCCCACUCCGCACCUGUUACUUUACCCUUGAGUUGCCAGCUUACACACGCAAGAAGGAAAGUGAGGCAUGGUCUGCAUAUUUGUAAGCCUGAGGGUCAAGGAUGAAUCUACACUGGGAAUUCGAAAGGCAAGCAGCCUUAAGUCAGCACUCUGGGAUCAACCGCAUUUACCUCUUGUGGAAGUUAGGACGAUUUCAGCUACGAGCAACAGAAAUCUUAACUUGUAAUUUAAAACAAGAUCAGCAAAAUAUGGCCCACAGGCCACCCCCGGCUCUUCACCUGUUUUUGUACAGCCUUCAAGCUAAGGAGUGCAUUUUAUACUCAAGAAGGGCCUGUGUGGUGGCCUUUGAACUUGCACCUCUCAGCUCUCCUACUGGGGAAGUGUAAUCUACCCCAGCCGCUGUGCUCUGAACGCACCACCACAUCCGAGCUGUGUCCGCACCACCCACGGAUGUCUCUGCCUAUGACCCAGCACCGCAGGGGGACUGAUUCCUCUUCUGACUUUGCCUCCAGGGCCCUGUCAUGGACUGAAUGUAUCCUCCUGAAAUUCAUGUGUUAGAGCCCUACCCUCGCCCCCCUCAGUGUGAUGGUAUUUGGAGGCGGGGCCUGUGGGAGGUGAUUAGGUCAUGAGGGUGGACCCUUUCUAAGUGGGCUUAGUGCCCUAUAGGAAGGGAUUCCUGAGAGAUGAUCGCUCUCUCCCCAUGGUUGUCUGCCAUGGAAGAAGGCUCUUGCCAGACAUAGAGCCUCUGGAAACUUGACCUUGGACUUCCCAGCCUCCAGAACCAUGAGAAAUAAAUGUCUAUUAUUUAAGCC
Molecule: long non-coding RNA, 899 nt
Organism: Suricata suricatta (meerkat)
Lineage: Eukaryota; Metazoa; Chordata; Mammalia; Carnivora; Herpestidae
Exons: 2
Source: RefSeq, a predicted model, not a curated record